UCGACCUGAGCUCAGGCAA
RNAcentral lists this ribosomal RNA (19 nucleotides) under Dictyosphaerium sp. CB 2008/108. Its description in RNAcentral is "partial 28S ribosomal RNA". The record is from RNAcentral. Lineage: Eukaryota; Viridiplantae; Chlorophyta; Trebouxiophyceae; Chlorellales; Chlorellaceae.